AGCUGUUACGGUUUUUUUUUUUUAGGGUUCGGUGUUUUACUGUUGAGCUGCUCAGUGCCCAGCUUAGAGGACCAGGAAAAGGAGUCACCGGCCAUAUGCUGGAGGCUUGAGACACGGCACAGCGGCGCAGCUCGCCUCGCUAUGGUUGGUGGUGGCAGUGGAGCUUGCGAUUGCCACGCGGCUGGAGGGUCCUUUAGGUUGUUUGAGGGACAUUCAUCAAGGAAACCGGAGAAACUUAAAAUGCUCUUCCGCUUCUUUGGAACAGUCACAGAGAAAAGUGAACUCCUUUCAUUCUUGCAGUAAUUUUUCUUGCUGAUGGGAACAGUUCAAGUCAAGUGACAUGUGAGGAACAUUUUGUGUUUAACGUAAACCUUCCUGUCCCAACUACAUUGAAACAGUAAUGAUGCGACAAGAACCUACUGGGUUGGUGACAUUUACAAGACAGAGUCUUGAGGAUUUUCCAGAACGGGAAAGAUUUUGAAAGAACAAAGAGGAACUACAGAAUCAUUGCUUACAUUGACACCGGCCCUGUUGUCCCAAUGGAUGGGUUUUUUUUGGAUGAACGUCAAAAUUGACCCUGCUGUUAAAGCUUGAAACUUGGAUCUGUUGUAUCUGAGUUCUCUCCUCAAAAAAAGACCUUCAGGAAGUAUCAGAUAACUGAAACAUACCAGAUCACAGCACCACAUGCCUCCUGCCCCUCCCUAAUUUCUGUUCUCUUAUACAUUGUUAAAUUUUUUUCCUGCCCCUAUUAGUCAAGCCCAUGGAUUUGAGACUGAGCUCCCAGCUCCUGGGCCGCAGCACCAGGUUAAAGCUUUCUUCCUUGGCAGUACUUGUCACCUCAGUGACUGGCUUUUUCUCCGAUGAGCAGGAGGACCUGGACGAAACCCCUAGUGUUUGGUCAAGGAACUUGAUGCUCCCUAAAUCCAAAUAUUACGGUUAAAAGAAGAGAGAGGAAAUGUGUGCAGAGAAAGUGUAUUUUACAAAUGAAUUAAAGGUGGAUUCUGAGUUACAGGUUUAUAGAUUUACCUAGAGUUUUGAGUUCAGGAAGCCAUCAUUCUUUAGAGGGCAAUGACCAAACAGUACCAGCAGAAAUUGAAGUACCAGCAGAAGGCUAAGAAGGGAUCAUGGCACAAGCUGCAGUUUCCACCCUGCCCAUUGAAGAUGAGGAGUCCAUGGCAGAUGAG
This 1184-nucleotide long non-coding RNA is filed under the name Homo sapiens (human). RNAcentral's name for it is "HSALNT0352016". Lineage: Eukaryota; Metazoa; Chordata; Mammalia; Primates; Hominidae. The record is from RNAcentral.